CGGCGGCCAAGACAGCACGGAGUAGACUGACUAGGGCGUUUCGGGAGGGUAAGGGGUAAACGCCGCGGCCUGCUUUUCAGAACUCUCCCCCGCCUUGUUCGUGGCUCCGGGCCCCUGCCGCCCUCACACCGGUAACCUCGCAACGCUCCCGUGCUGCGGCCUGUGGCAGGAUUGCCUGCGACGUCCUCCCUGCCUGGUGACCCUCUGGCCGGCAAGAUGAAGCUCUCCCUGGUGGCUGCAGUGCUGCUG
This 249-nucleotide non-coding RNA is filed under the name Microcebus murinus (gray mouse lemur). RNAcentral's name for it is "bip internal ribosome entry site (IRES)". It matches the Rfam family "bip internal ribosome entry site (IRES)". Rfam says of the family: This family represents the bip internal ribosome entry site (IRES). Lineage: Eukaryota; Metazoa; Chordata; Mammalia; Primates; Cheirogaleidae. The record is from Rfam by way of RNAcentral.